This 451-nucleotide ribosomal RNA is filed under the name uncultured cyanobacterium. RNAcentral's name for it is "bacterial SSU rRNA". It matches the Rfam family "Bacterial small subunit ribosomal RNA", at positions 8 to 501 of the family's 1533-position model. Lineage: Bacteria; Bacillati; Cyanobacteriota. The record is from RNAcentral.
AGAGUUUGAUCAUGGCUCAGGAUGAACGCUGGCGGUCUGCUUAACACAUGCAAGUCGAACGGAAUCUUUCGGGAUUUAGUGGCGGACGGGUGAGUAACGCGUGAGAAUCUGCCUUCAGGUUCGGGACGACAGUUGGAAACGGCUGCUAAUACCGGAUGUGCCGAGAGGUGAAAGCUUAAGUGCCUGGAGAUGAGCUCGCGUCUGAUUAGCUAGUAGGAGUGGUAACGGCACCCCUAGGCGACGAUCAGUAGCUGGUCUGAGAGGAUGAUCAGCCACACUGGGACUGAGACACGGCCCAGACUCCUACGGGAGGCAGCAGUGGGGAAUUUUCCGCAAUGGGCGCAAGCCUGACGGAGCAAGACCGCGUGAGGGAAGAAGGUCUGUGGAUUGUAAACCUCUUUUGAUCGGGAAGAAGACAGUGACGGUACCGAUCGAAUCAGCUCGAUCCCCC